GGACGAACGCUGGCGGCGUGCCUAAUACAUGCAAGUCGAACGAACUCUGGUAUUGAUUGGUGCUUGCAUCAUGAUUUACAUUUGAGUGAGUGGCGAACUGGUGAGUAACACGUGGGAAACCUGCCCAGAAGCGGGGGAUAACACCUGGAAACAGAUGCUAAUACCGCAUAACAACUUGGACCGCAUGGUCCGAGCUUGAAAGAUGGCUUCGGCUAUCACUUUUGGAUGGUCCCGCGGCGUAUUAGCUAGAUGGUGGGGUAACGGCUCACCAUGGCAAUGAUACGUAGCCGACCUGAGAGGGUAAUCGGCCACAUUGGGACUGAGACACGGCCCAAACUCCUACGGGAGGCAGCAGUAGGGAAUCUUCCACAAUGGACGAAAGUCUGAUGGAGCAACGCCGCGUGAGUGAAGAAGGGUUUCGGCUCGUAAAACUCUGUUGUUAAAGAAGAACAUAUCUGAGAGUAACUGUUCAGGUAUUGACGGUAUUUAACCAGAAAGCCACGGCUAACUACGUGCCAGCAGCCGCGGUAAUACGUAGGUGGCAAGCGUUGUCCGGAUUUAUUGGGCGUAAAGCGAGCGCACGCGGUUUUUUAAGUCUGAUGUGAAAGCCUUCGGCUCAACCGAAGAAGUGCAUCGGAAACUGGGAAACUUGAGUGCAGAAGAGGACAGUGGAACUCCAUGUGUAGCGGUGAAAUGCGUAGAUAUAUGAAGAACACCAGUGCGAAGGCGGCUGUCUGGUCUGUAACUGACGCUGAGGCUCGAAAGUAUGGGUAGCAAACAGGAUUAGAUACCCUGGUAGUCCAUACCGUAAAAGAUGAAUGCUAAGUGUUGGAGGGUUUCCGCCCUUCAGUGCUGCAGCUAACGCAUUAAGCAUUCCGCCUGGGGAGUACGGCCGCAAGGCUGAAACUCAAAGGAAUUGACGGGGGCCCGCACAAGCGGUGGAGCAUGUGGUUUAAUUCGAAGCUACGCGAAGAACCUUACCAGGUCUUGACAUACUAUGCAAAUCUAAGAGAUUAGACGUUCCCUUCGGGGACAUGGAUACAGGUGGUGCAUGGUUGUCGUCAGCUCGUGUCGUGAGAUGUUGGGUUAAGUCCCGCAACGAGCGCAACCCUUAUUAUCAGUUGCCAGCAUUAAGUUGGGCACUCUGGUGAGACUGCCGGUGACAAACCGGAGGAAGGUGGGGAUGACGUCAAAUCAUCAUGCCCCUUAUGACCUGGGCUACACACGUGCUACAAUGGAUGGUACAACGAGUUGCGAACUCGCGAGAGUAAGCUAAUCUCUUAAAGCCAUUCUCAGUUCGGAUUGUAGGCUGCAACUCGCCUACAUGAAGUCGGAAUCGCUAGUAAUCGCGGAUCAGCAUGCCGCGGUGAAUACGUUCCCGGGCCUUG
RNAcentral lists this ribosomal RNA (1388 nucleotides) under uncultured Lactobacillus sp. RNAcentral describes it as "bacterial SSU rRNA". It matches the Rfam family "Bacterial small subunit ribosomal RNA", at positions 27 to 1383 of the family's 1533-position model. The record is from RNAcentral. Lineage: Bacteria; Bacillati; Bacillota; Bacilli; Lactobacillales; Lactobacillaceae.